This 416-nucleotide ribosomal RNA is filed under the name uncultured microorganism. Its description in RNAcentral is "bacterial SSU rRNA". It matches the Rfam family "Archaeal small subunit ribosomal RNA", at positions 330 to 745 of the family's 1478-position model. The record is from RNAcentral.
GCGCAGCAGUCGAGAAACCUCCGCAAUGCGGGAAACCGCGACGGGGGACCCCGAGUGCCGUGGCAACGCCACGGCUUUUCCGGAGUGUAAAAAGCUCCGGGAAUAAGGGCUGGGCAAGGCCGGUGGCAGCCGCCGCGGUAAUACCGGCGGCCCGAGUGGUGGCCGCUAUUAUUGGGCCUAAAGCGUCCGUAGCCGGGCCCGUAAGUCCCUGGCGAAAUCCCACGGCUCAACCGUGGGGCUUGCUGGGGAUACUGCGGGUCUUGGGACCGGGAGAGGCGGGGGGUACCCCUGGGGUAGGGGUGAAAUCCUAUAAUCCCCAGGGGGACCGCCAGUGGCGAAGGCGCCCCGCUGGAACGGGUCCGACGGUGAGGGACGAAGGCCAGGGGAGCAAAACCGGGAUUAGAUACCCGUGUAGU